Molecule: ribosomal RNA, 432 nt
Filed under: uncultured bacterium
Lineage: Bacteria
Description: partial 16S ribosomal RNA
Rfam family: Bacterial small subunit ribosomal RNA
Source: RNAcentral
AACGAACGCUGGCGGCAUGCCUAACACAUGCAAGUCGAACGAGACCUUCGGGUCUAGUGGCGCACGGGUGCGUAACGCGUGGGAACCUGCCCUUAGGUUCGGAAUAACUCCCCGAAAGGGGUGCUAAUACCGGAUAAUGUCUUCGGACCAAAGAUUUAUCGCCUUUGGAUGGGCCCGCGUUGGAUUAGCUAGUUGGUAGGGUAAAAGCCUACCAAGGCGACGAUCCAUAGCUGGUCUGAGAGGAUGAUCAGCCACACUGGGACUGAGACACGGCCCAGACUCCUACGGGAGGCAGCAGUGGGGAAGAUUGGACAAUGGGCGAAAGCCUGAUCCAGCAAUGCCGCGUGAGUGAUGAAGGCCUGAGGGUUGUAAAGCUCUUUUACCCGGGAUGAUAAUGACAGGACCGGGAGAAUAAGCUCCGGCUAACUCCGU